CGCUGGCGGCGUGCCUAACACAUGCAAGUCGAACGAAGCUCCUGAUUGGAUUCUCGGAUGAAGAGAAGGAAGACUUAGUGGCGGACGGGUGAGUAACGCGUGAGCAACCUGCCUUCAGAGGGGGAUAACAGUUGGAAACGACUGCUAAUACCGCAUAACAUAUUGAUGUCGCAUGGCAUUGAUAUCAAAGCUGAGGCGCUGAGAGAUGGGCUCGCGUCCGAUUAGAUAGUUGGUGGGGUAACGGCCUACCAAGUCGACGAUCGGUAGCCGGACUGAGAGGUUGAACGGCCACAUUGGGACUGAGACACGGCCCAGACUCCUACGGGAGGCAGCAGUGGGGGAUAUUGCACAAUGGGCGAAAGCCUGAAUGCAGCAACGCCGCGUGAGGGAAGACGGUUUUCGGAUUGUAAACCUCUGUCUUUGGUGAAGAAGGAAGUGACGGUAGCCAAGGAGGAAGCCACGGCUAACUACGUGCCAGCAGCAGC
This 485-nucleotide ribosomal RNA is filed under the name uncultured bacterium. Its description in RNAcentral is "bacterial SSU rRNA". It matches the Rfam family "Bacterial small subunit ribosomal RNA", at positions 34 to 518 of the family's 1533-position model. The record is from RNAcentral.